GCGAUCAUGGCCGAGUGGUUAAGGCGAGGGUCUUAAGUAUAUUUUGCUGAAUUCAUCCCUUGACGCAAGUCGCGUGGGUUCGAACCCCACUGGUCGCA
Non-coding RNA from Pseudohyphozyma bogoriensis, 98 nucleotides. Lineage: Eukaryota; Fungi; Basidiomycota; Microbotryomycetes; Chrysozymaceae. The record is from the annotation of a GenBank genome assembly.